RNAcentral lists this unclassified non-coding RNA (712 nucleotides) under Hevea brasiliensis (rubber tree). Lineage: Eukaryota; Viridiplantae; Streptophyta; Magnoliopsida; Malpighiales; Euphorbiaceae. The record is from RNAcentral.
AGUACAGGGAUCGAACUCGAAGGAAGAAAGUAGCCAAUUCUCUUUCUAGCGAGUCUUCCUUUACCAAUGGAGAUAAAAGGAGCGUAAGCGAAGAAGAAUCACAUGUAUGCGUGCUAAGCGAGGACAAGCAGAAGCUAUGGAAUAGAGUCUUUCUUUGCCAUUCAUUAAGUAGGUAAAGCAGUCAGUAGGCUAAAUAGGCAUCUAUGCUUUAUCUUAUUGCCCUUCAAUUCUUCCUUUUCUUUUAGUUUUAUUGGAGUCUUUACCACUUAUUUGAAUGCAGUUUACUCUAUGAAUGCAAAAGAAUAAAUGGUUUUGAAUAGUUGAAUGGUUGUGUAAGAUCUUUAGCUUUUUAGUGAGGGAGGAAGAUAGAUAGUCAAACUGCAACCGAUUUGAGCUCUUAACGAAUCCCUGUGGAGGCAGUCUUAGAAGUAGGCAUUGGAGGAAAACUAAGCUCUUACAGUUCUUAUAAAAUAAAAAACUGCUUUAAAGGAGAGAAAUCGAGGGUGUGCUAUCUAUUCUACUUUGAUGACCUUACCUGAAUAAGAAAAGAAUCCUUGAUUAACCAACUCGUCAGUCUGAUAAGAGUUCCCACUAAAGGCAAAGAGAGGACUCAGGAGCAAGAUCAGCAAGCGGCGGGGGUAGAAAGGUAAGCAAGGUCCAAGCCGAGAGCUUCACCGCGGGAUGGAAGAGAUAAGGCGGGAAGGGCUGGAGG